This 253-nucleotide ribosomal RNA is filed under the name uncultured bacterium. Its description in RNAcentral is "partial 16S ribosomal RNA". It matches the Rfam family "Bacterial small subunit ribosomal RNA", at positions 524 to 776 of the family's 1533-position model. The record is from RNAcentral.
UACGGAGGAUGCGAGCGUUAUCCGGAUUUACUGGGUGUAAAGGGAGCGUAGGCGGCCCUGUAAGUCUGAUGUGAAAAUUUGGGGCUCAACCCCAAACGUGCAUUGGAAACUGCAGGGCUUGAGUGCCGGAGAGGCAGGCGGAAUUCCUAGUGUAGCGGUGAAAUGCGUAGAUAUUAGGAGGAACACCAGUGGCGAAGGCGGCCUGCUGGACGGUAACUGACGCUGAGGCUCGAAAGCGUGGGGAGCAAACAGG